AAACUAGAAAUCAUAUACACGUUCGCUGAGGGCUCCUAAUCUAAGUUGACAGUCCAGCCCAUCUUGUCCUCGGCGAUGCCCAUCUGUAGACUGGUCAGUGCAGAAUAGAGCUUCUGGGACACAACACCAACACCUUCGUUCCCAUAAUUCACCCUUUUCCCAAGGUAAGUUAUACUCCCCACUGGCGAUACAACCACAGCAGUACCAGUACAAAAAACUUCAUCAGCAUCAAGCAACUCGUCUACCGAUACGAACCUCUCUUCAACCUGGUACCCUUGGCUCCGAGCAACAUCUAUUAUACUUUUCCUUGUAAUGCCAGGCAAAAUUG
RNAcentral lists this unclassified non-coding RNA (328 nucleotides) under Hevea brasiliensis (rubber tree). Lineage: Eukaryota; Viridiplantae; Streptophyta; Magnoliopsida; Malpighiales; Euphorbiaceae. The record is from RNAcentral.